AGGUUGGUCAUGCCUCUGGUAUGUACUGGUCUCACUAAUUCCUCCUUCCUGAUGAACCGUAAUGCCAUUAAUUUGGUGUUGCGGGGAAUUUGGACUGUUACUUUGAAAAAAUUAGAGUGUUUAAAGCAAGCUAACGCUUGAAUACAUUAGCAUGGAAUAAUGAAAUAGGACGCUCGAUCCUAUUUUGUUGGUUUCUAGGAUUGACGUAAUGAUUAAUAGGGAUAUUGGGGGCAUUAGUAUUCAAUUGUCAGAGGUGAAAUUCUUGGAUUUAUUGAAGACUAACUACUGCGAAAGCAUUUGCCAAGGAUGUUUUCAUUAAUCAAGAACGAAAGUUAGGGGAUCGAAGACGAUCAGAUACCGUCGUAGUCUUAACCAUAAACUAUGCCGACUAGGGAUCGGAUGAUGUUAAUUUUUUAAUGACUCAUUCGGCGCCUUAGGGAAAC
This 443-nucleotide ribosomal RNA is filed under the name uncultured Glomus. RNAcentral describes it as "SSU rRNA". It matches the Rfam family "Eukaryotic small subunit ribosomal RNA", at positions 655 to 1098 of the family's 1831-position model. The record is from RNAcentral. Lineage: Eukaryota; Fungi; Glomeromycota; Glomeromycetes; Glomerales; Glomeraceae.